This is a long non-coding RNA of Dendrobium catenatum, 619 nucleotides long. RefSeq lists it as uncharacterized. The record is from RefSeq and is a predicted model, not a curated record. The transcript is spliced from 3 exons. NCBI's taxonomy places the organism in Eukaryota, Viridiplantae, Streptophyta, Magnoliopsida, Asparagales, Orchidaceae.
GAUGAGACUUCUCAUGUUUGCAGGACCCAAGAACUUGUUGCAUUAUCUGGAGCUCAUACGCUAGGAAGCAAAGGCUUUGGAAAUCCUAAUGUGUUCGAUAAUGCCUACUACAAAAUUCUUCUCGAGAAACCAUGGUCAACUUCAGGUUCCAUGUCAAGUAUGAUCGGGUUACCAUCAGAUCACGCUCUUGCAGAGGACGAUGAGUGUUUGAGGUGGAUCAAAGUUUAUGCAGCUGAUCAAGUAAAGUUUUUUGAUGAUUUUUCAAGCGCCUAUGUCAAACUGGUAGAUUCAGGUGCUGUGUGGAGAAAUGACAAUGUCUGAUGCUACAAUUGAGUAAUAGACAGAUGAUAAAUGAGCCGAAUGAGCUGGUUGAUGAAAAAUAAUAAUAAUAAUACCUUUUUUAAUGAUAAUAUAUGUUCAUUAUCCAGCUCAUUUGGCUGGUAUUUCAAUCUCCGAUUUUCAGCAAAAUUAACAUUCUAGAUUUGUUUUUGCCUUAGUUUCUGUGUUCAUGCUGUAACUGUGGCUUCCAUAUUACUUGCCUGUAGUUUUUAGAAUGUACAGUUAUGCACUAUUCUUUUAGAAUGUGCAGUUGUAUUAUAUUCAUUUCAUGUUGUCUUCA